RNAcentral lists this transfer RNA (65 nucleotides) under Munidopsis lauensis. RNAcentral describes it as "tRNA-Tyr". It matches the Rfam family "tRNA". Rfam says of the family: Transfer RNA (tRNA) molecules are approximately 80 nucleotides in length. Their secondary structure includes four short double-helical elements and three loops (D, anti-codon, and T loops). Lineage: Eukaryota; Metazoa; Arthropoda; Malacostraca; Decapoda; Munidopsidae. The record is from RNAcentral.
AAUAAGGUGGCUGAGAGCUUAGGCGUUAGAUUGUAAAUUUAUUGACGGAUUAGAUCCUCUUAUUA